Molecule: ribosomal RNA, 253 nt
Filed under: uncultured bacterium
Lineage: Bacteria
Description: partial 16S ribosomal RNA
Rfam family: Bacterial small subunit ribosomal RNA
Source: RNAcentral
UACGUAGGGUGCGAGCGUUAAUCGGAAUUACUGGGCGUAAAGCGUGCGCAGGCGGCGCGUUAAGACAGGUGUGAAAGCCCCGAGCUUAACUUGGGAAUUGCGCUUGUUACUGGCAAGCUAGAGUGCGUCAGAGGGAGGUGGAAUUCCACGUGUAGCAGUGAAAUGCGUAGAGAUGUGGAGGAACACCGAUGGCGAAGGCAGCCUCCUGGGAUGACACUGACGCUCAUACACGAAAGCGUGGGGAGCAAACAGG